AAUUUGGAUCCUGAUCUUCAGUAUAGUGUUAAUUUAAUACAAUUUUAUUUCAGGCUUGUGACAGUUUAAUGUUCAAACCAAUCAAUGUUUAAAAAGCACUCUUAAAAGUGUCCGUUUCAUUUUGAUCUCUGGGAGAAAGAAAGCACAAUGAAAGGAAAACACAUCUAUAGAAACAGCUUAGUAAGACCUUUCAUAAAUAUUCGUGUGCAAUUUUCAGUUGCUGGCUUGAUUACUAAAGAGCUAAGGUGAAAUCUAUGAAGCAUUCAUUGGUGAUAACAUUAAAGAGCAAGAGAUGUCCUUCAAAUCCUUUUCAUAUCUUCUAUAGAUUUAUAUUCUACAGAUUCACUUGGUAGACAAUAAUGCUAACCUGUAUGUAUGAACGUGACACUUUAUUUGAAAUUCGUGCUUGGCAUUGCUGUGUGCCCUGUGUCAUUUUGCCUUUCUGGCUUUCAUUUCUCUGAAAUAAAAAAAUAAAUAGUAAGAUUGGGUUAAGUCCAGAAAAAUUCCAUUAAAGACCUGCAUAAGCAGGACCUGAGUCCAAGGGGCAUAUGGAGAUGAUGGAUUUAAAGAUGGCAUUGUUGGAGGCAUGUUGACUCACUGAGGAGAUUCAUACCUUCUUCCAUAUAGGACAAUGUACUAAUGCAAUUUUAUAUGUAUUUCUUGUUUUGCUGACCAAGCCUAUCCUGUCGUGGCCACUGCAGCUCGUCCGUCUGCUGCCAGCACCUGAUGUGUGUCCAAGUGACAUUAGCUCAGGUAGAAAGGCUGGGGAGGUGCUGGGGCAAGCUAGGGAGUUCCCAGAGUCCUGUUGGACUCAGAGGAGGACUUGUUUGGGGAUGACUUAUCUUUUUUUGAAGAGCAUGGUCAGCGCUCUCAAGGCUGAGGUAUAGUCUUCCAGAUCUGGUUCCAGCUUUGCCUGGGUGUUU
This 923-nucleotide long non-coding RNA is filed under the name Phasianus colchicus (ring-necked pheasant). RNAcentral describes it as "lncRNA (ENSPCLG00000019023.1)". Lineage: Eukaryota; Metazoa; Chordata; Aves; Galliformes; Phasianidae. The record is from RNAcentral.